Molecule: ribosomal RNA, 2684 nt
Filed under: Salmonella enterica subsp. enterica serovar Typhimurium
Lineage: Bacteria; Pseudomonadati; Pseudomonadota; Gammaproteobacteria; Enterobacterales; Enterobacteriaceae
Description: partial 23S ribosomal RNA
Rfam family: Bacterial large subunit ribosomal RNA
Source: RNAcentral
GGUGCGCGAUACAGGGUGACAGCCCCGUACACAAAAGCGCAUGUGCUGUGAGCUCGAUGAGUAGGGCGGGACACGUGGUAUCCUGUCUGAAUAUGGGGGGACCAUCCUCCAAGGCUAAAUACUCCUGACUGACCGAUAGUGAACCAGUACCGUGAGGGAAAGGCGAAAAGAACCCCGGCGAGGGGAGUGAAAAAGAACCUGAAACCGUGUACGUACAAGCAGUGGGAGCACAGGUUUACCUGUGUGACUGCGUACCUUUUGUAUAAUGGGUCAGCGACUUAUAUUCUGUAGCAAGGUUAACCGUAUAGGGGAGCCGGAGGGAAACCGAGUCUUAAUUGGGCGUUAAGUUGCAGGGUAUAGACCCGAAACCCGGUGAUCUAGCCAUGGGCAGGUUGAAGGUUGGGUAACACUAACUGGAGGACCGAACCGACUAAUGUUGAAAAAUUAGCGGAUGACCUGUGGCUGGGGGUGAAAGGCCAAUCAAACCGGGAGAUAGCUGGUUCUCCCCGAAAGCUAUUUAGGUAGCGCCUCGUGAAUUCAUCUCCGGGGGUAGAGCACUGUUUCGGCUAGGGGGCCAUCCCGGCUUACCAACCCGAUGCAAACUGCGAAUACCGGAGAAUGUUAUCACGGGAGACACACGGCGGGUGCUAACGUCCGUCGUGAAGAGGGAAACAACCCAGACCGCCAGCUAAGGUCCCAAAGUCAUGGUUAAGUGGGAAACGAUGUGGGAAGGCCCAGACAGCCAGGAUGUUGGCUUAGAAGCAGCCAUCAUUUAAAGAAAGCGUAAUAGCUCACUGGUCGAGUCGGCCUGCGCGGAAGAUGUAACGGGGCUAAACCAUGCACCGAAGCUGCGGCAGCGAACGUAUCACCCAAGACAACUUUACGGAGUUGACGAUUGACGGAGCGAAGCGACGUCAAAGCGUUCAUUAAAGUCGAGUUGGCUUAGGGAUACGUUCGUUGGGUAGGGGAGCGUUCUGUAAGCCUGUGAAGGUGUGUCGUGAGGCAUGCUGGAGGUAUCAGAAGUGCGAAUGCUGACAUAAGUAACGAUAAAGCGGGUGAAAAGCCCGCUCGCCGGAAGACCAAGGGUUCCUGUCCAACGUUAAUCGGGGCAGGGUGAGUCGACCCCUAAGGCGAGGCCGAAAGGCGUAGUCGAUGGGAAACGGGUUAAUAUUCCCGUACUUGGUGUUACUGCGAAGGGGGGACGGAGAAGGCUAUGUUGGCCGGGCGACGGUUGUCCCGGUUUAAGCGUGUAGGUGUGUGUUCCAGGUAAAUCCGGUUCACUUUAACACUGAGGCGUGACGACGAGGCACUACGGUGCUGAAGCAACAAAUGCCCUGCUUCCAGGAAAAGCCUCUAAGCAUCAGGUAACAUCAAAUCGUACCCCAAACCGACACAGGUGGUCAGGUAGAGAAUACCAAGGCGCUUGAGAGAACUCGGGUGAAGGAACUAGGCAAAAUGGUGCCGUAACUUCGGGAGAAGGCACGCUGACACGUAGGUGAAGUGAUUUACUCAUGGAGCUGAAGUCAGUCGAAGAUACCAGCUGGCUGCAACUGUUUAUUAAAAACACAGCACUGUGCAAACACGAAAGUGGACGUAUACGGUGUGACGCCUGCCCGGUGCCGGAAGGUUAAUUGAUGGGGUCAGCGCAAGCGAAGCUCCUGAUCGAAGCCCCGGUAAACGGCGGCCGUAACUAUAACGGUCCUAAGGUAGCGAAAUUCCUUGUCGGGUAAGUUCCGACCUGCACGAAUGGCGUAAUGAUGGCCAGGCUGUCUCCACCCGAGACUCAGUGAAAUUGAACUCGCUGUGAAGAUGCAGUGUACCCGCGGCAAGACGGAAAGACCCCGUGAACCUUUACUAUAGCUUGACACUGAACAUUGAGCCUUGAUGUGUAGGAUAGGUGGGAGGCUUUGAAGUGUGGACGCCAGUCUGCAUGGAGCCGACCUUGAAAUACCACCCUUUAAUGUUUGAUGUUCUAACGUGGACCCGUAAUCCGGGUUGCGGACAGUGUCUGGUGGGUAGUUUGACUGGGGCGGUCUCCUCCUAAAGAGUAACGGAGGAGCACGAAGGUUGGCUAAUCCUGGUCGGACAUCAGGAGGUUAGUGCAAUGGCAUAAGCCAGCUUGACUGCGAGCGUGACGGCGCGAGCAGGUGCGAAAGCAGGUCAUAGUGAUCCGGUGGUUCUGAAUGGAAGGGCCAUCGCUCAACGGAUAAAAGGUACUCCGGGGAUAACAGGCUGAUACCGCCCAAGAGUUCAUAUCGACGGCGGUGUUUGGCACCUCGAUGUCGGCUCAUCACAUCCUGGGGCUGAAGUAGGUCCCAAGGGUAUGGCUGUUCGCCAUUUAAAGUGGUACGCGAGCUGGGUUUAGAACGUCGUGAGACAGUUCGGUCCCUAUCUGCCGUGGGCGCUGGAGAACUGAGGGGGGCUGCUCCUAGUACGAGAGGACCGGAGUGGACGCAUCACUGGUGUUCGGGUUGUCAUGCCAAUGGCACUGCCCGGUAGCUAAAUGCGGAAGAGAUAAGUGCUGAAAGCAUCUAAGCACGAAACUUGCCCCGAGAUGAGUUCUCCCUGAGACUUAGAGUCUCCUGAAGGAACGUUGAAGACGACGACGUUGAUAGGCCGGGUGUGUAAGCGCAGCGAUGCGUUGAGCUAACCGGUACUAAUGAACCGUGAGGCUUAACCUUACA